GACGAACGCUGGCGGCGUGCUUAACACAUGCAAGUCGAACGGAAAGGCCCUGCUUUUGUGGGGUGCUCGAGUGGCGAACGGGUGAGUAACACGUGAGUAACCUGCCCUUGACUUUGGGAUAACUUCAGGAAACUGGGGCUAAUACCGGAUAGGAGCUCCUGCUGCAUGGUGGGGGUUGGAAAGUUUCGGCGGUUGGGGAUGGACUCGCGGGUUAUCAGCUUGUUGGUGGGGUAGUGGCUUACCAAGGCUUUGACGGGUAGCCGGCCUGAGAGGGUGACCGGCCACAUUGGGACUGAGAUACGGCCCAGACUGCUACGGGAGGCAGCAGGGGAGAAUAUUGCACAAUGGGCGGAAGCCUGAUGCAGCAACGCCGCGUGCGGGAUGACGGCCUUCGGGUUGUAAACCGCUUUCGCCUGUGACGAAGCGUGAGUGACGGUAAUGGGUAAAGAAGCACCGGCUAACUACGUG
This 468-nucleotide ribosomal RNA is filed under the name uncultured bacterium. RNAcentral's name for it is "partial 16S ribosomal RNA". It matches the Rfam family "Bacterial small subunit ribosomal RNA", at positions 28 to 507 of the family's 1533-position model. The record is from RNAcentral.